Molecule: ribosomal RNA, 252 nt
Filed under: uncultured bacterium
Lineage: Bacteria
Description: partial 16S ribosomal RNA
Rfam family: Bacterial small subunit ribosomal RNA
Source: RNAcentral
UACGUAGGUGACCAGCGUUGUCCGGAUUUACUGGGCGUAAAGAGCGCGCAGGCGGUCGUUCAAGUCGAGUGUGAAAGCCCCCGGCUCAACUGGGGAGGGUCAUUCGAUACUGAUCGACUUGAAGGCAGGAGAGGGUAGUGGAAUUCCCGGUGUAGUGGUGAAAUGCGUAGAUAUCUGGAGGAACACCGGUGGCGAAGGCGGCAUUCUGGACCGAAACUGACACUGAGGCGCGACAGCGUGGGGAGCAACAGG